GAUCUCCUGCUCAAUGGUGUCCAGGUUUUCUGGGGCCGAUGCUUGAGGUGGUGGGUCCACCACCUGUGCAGUUGAGUUCCACACCUGGGGCAGUUGGGGCACCAGCAGCAGCUGGUGGGUCCUUCACUUUACCUAAUUUUGUGACCAUGGGGAUGGAUGGUGAUGUCAACUCCCACUCAAGUGACCUCACGGCCUUGGACCUCUGAGAAACUUGUGUGUCUCGACAUAUUUGCACACCUUCUGGCAGAGUGGGCUUGCAAGAAAUGGAAGGCUCUAGUGAUAGUGGGAUUGAAAGCCACAGCACUGGAACUACCAUACCAAUUUCCAGAACUGACAGCGAUGAGCUUACCUCAUCUGAUUCUCUUCCUCCUCCACCACCUCCACCACUUCCUCCACCUAUUCCACCAGUUCCUCCUCCUCUUCCUCCUACACCACCCUCUCCUCUUCUUCAUGAUGAAGAUGUAAUGUAUAUAUUUAAUGAAUUCUAAUUAACUCUGUAAUGUGGUGACAGUUGUCAUUAAUAUUUUGUGAUGUUUCCUUUUCUGUAGUAUUUUGCUGAUGAUGAAGAGGACUGAAUAACUUGUUUAAUAAUAUGUUGUUUUUUCGAGUUUAAUAAAGUUUUUAUCAUUUUUUGUUAAAGUUUUAAUUAAAAAAGGUUUGAAC
This is a long non-coding RNA of Cyprinus carpio carpio, 663 nucleotides long. The record is from Ensembl. Lineage: Eukaryota; Metazoa; Chordata; Actinopteri; Cypriniformes; Cyprinidae.